This 460-nucleotide ribosomal RNA is filed under the name uncultured bacterium. Its description in RNAcentral is "partial 16S ribosomal RNA". It matches the Rfam family "Bacterial small subunit ribosomal RNA", at positions 338 to 795 of the family's 1533-position model. The record is from RNAcentral.
CCUACGGGUGGCAGCAGUGAGGAAUAUUGGUCAAUGGACGAGAGUCUGAACCAGCCAAGUAGCGUGAAGGAUGACUGCUCUAUGGGUUGUAAACUUCUUUUAUCUGGGAAUAAAAUGUUCCACGUGUCGGAUUUUGUAUGUACCAUAUGAAUAAGGAUCGGCUAACUCCGUGCCAGCAGCCGCGGUAAUACGGAGGAUCCGAGCGUUAUCCGGAUUUAUUGGGUUUAAAGGUAGCGUAGGUGGAUUGUUAAGUCAGUUGUGAAAGUUUGCGACUCAACCGUAAUAUUGCAGUUGAAACUGGCAGUCUGGAGUACAGUAGAGGUGGGCGGAAGUCGUGGUGUAGCGGUGAAGUGCUAAGAUAUCACGAAGAACUCCGAUUGCGAAGGCAGCUCACUGGACUGCAACGGACACUGAGGCUCGAAAGUGUGGGUAUCAAACAGGAUUAGAUACCCCUGUAGUC